UGGUGGAGUGAUUUGUCUGGUUAAUUCCGUUAACGAACGAGACCUCGACCUGCUAAAUAGUUCGGCGAAUUCUUUUGGAUUCGUUCGUGACUUCUUAGAGGGACUAUCGGUGGGUAGCCGGUGGAAGUUCGAGGCAAUAACA
RNAcentral lists this ribosomal RNA (142 nucleotides) under uncultured eukaryote. Its description in RNAcentral is "partial 18S ribosomal RNA". It matches the Rfam family "Eukaryotic small subunit ribosomal RNA", at positions 1299 to 1458 of the family's 1831-position model. The record is from RNAcentral.